This 686-nucleotide small RNA is filed under the name Pongo abelii (Sumatran orangutan). RNAcentral's name for it is "retained intron". The record is from RNAcentral. Lineage: Eukaryota; Metazoa; Chordata; Mammalia; Primates; Hominidae.
CUGGCUCCUGCCAAGCACUUAAUUGCUAGUAUGUUGUCCAAAAACCCAGAGGAUCGUCCCAGUUUGGAUGACAUCAUUCGACAUGACUUUUUUUUGCAGGGCUUCACUCCAGACAGACUGUCUUCUAGCUGUUGUCAUACAGUUCCAGAUUUCCACUUAUCAAGCCCAGCAAAGAAUUUCUUUAAGAAAGCAGCUGCUGCUCUUUUUGGUGGCAAAAAAGACAAAGCAAGAUAUAUUGACACACAUAAUAGAGUGUCUAAAGAAGAUGAAGACAUCUACAAGCUUAGGCAUGAUUUGAAAAAGACUUCAAUAACUCAGCAACCCAGCAAACACAGGACAGAUGAGGUGUGUUGGGAAAGAGUAAAGUAGAUGCUCAUGCUUUACAUUAUUUCCACUCUUUAUUAAUUAGCACUUGGACUAUGAUUAUCAUGGUUCAAAUAUGUCAUAUUUACUUAAAGUUUUUCUUCAAACCCUUUGAAAGGGAAGUUAAAACUAAAAGGAAGUCUUUUAGUUUUACAAUGCAUGCAAGUGAGUUACUGCGUUAUCUUUUAUCUGGCUUUUGUCCAUUGCUUUUUGAUGAGCUUUCCCAGCAGUUGCCUCACUCUCAUCUUAAUCUGGAAUUCUCACCCUUAAAUGAAUUUAGAUGCUUGACUCAUUGCAUAAAUCUCUCUUCUAAGGAGCUCCAG